GAUCAAAGGAGGAGUGUGGAG
Molecule: unclassified non-coding RNA, 21 nt
Filed under: Mus musculus (house mouse)
Lineage: Eukaryota; Metazoa; Chordata; Mammalia; Rodentia; Muridae
Description: oocyte_clustered_small_RNA5128
Source: RNAcentral